CCUACGGGCGGCAGCAGUGGGGAAUAUUGGACAAUGGGCGAAAGCCUGAUCCAGCCAUGCCGCGUGUGUGAAGAAGGCCUUCGGGUUGUAAAGCACUUUCAGUGGGGAAGAAAGCCUUGGGGCUAAUACCCUCGAGGAAGGACAUCACCCACAGAAGAAGCACCGGCUAACUCCGUGCCAGCAGCCGCGGUAAUACGGAGGGUGCGAGCGUUAAUCGGAAUUACUGGGCGUAAAGCGCGCGUAGGCGGUCUGAUAAGCCGGUUGUGAAAGCCCCGGGCUCUACCUGGGAACGGCAUCCGGAACUGUCAGGCUAGAGUGCAGGAGAGGAAGGUAGAAUUCCCGGUGUAGCGGUGAAAUGCGUAGAGAUCGGGAGGAAUACCAGUGGCGAAGGCGGCCUUCUGGACUGACACUGACGCUGAGGUGCGAAAGCGUGGGUAGCAAACAGGAUUAGAUACCCCGGUAGUC
This 465-nucleotide ribosomal RNA is filed under the name Vreelandella stevensii. RNAcentral's name for it is "partial 16S ribosomal RNA". It matches the Rfam family "Bacterial small subunit ribosomal RNA", at positions 338 to 795 of the family's 1533-position model. Lineage: Bacteria; Pseudomonadati; Pseudomonadota; Gammaproteobacteria; Oceanospirillales; Halomonadaceae. The record is from RNAcentral.